RNAcentral lists this non-coding RNA (50 nucleotides) under Trypanosoma brucei brucei. Lineage: Eukaryota; Euglenozoa; Kinetoplastea; Trypanosomatida; Trypanosomatidae. The record is from RNAcentral.
AAAUUUAAAUAACAGUAUAAGUGAGUUUGUAUCUCGAUGGUUAUAUGUAU